AUCUCUAAUUCAGAUCGCAUUCGAAUUUGACAAGAGAUAGGAUUAUGAGUCAUCAAUCAUUUCCACCCACCCUUAUUAUGUCUACUACUUUGAUGCCAAAAAAGUCAAGCCAAAUCUUAUUUGGCAUGGAGGUAUAGGCAAGUGUCCAUGUGUGGCGCAAGGAGAUAAAGAUAGAGUCCAAGUUGACAUGGACUCUUCAUUCCUAAUCUGAUCUAAUCCAAAUCAAAUUUGGAUUUAACCCACUGAUAGAAAUGAAUCUAAUCCAAUUAAAAAUCCAAAUAUCUUAUUAAAUUUCUAACCCA
RNAcentral lists this long non-coding RNA (302 nucleotides) under Elaeis guineensis (African oil palm). Its description in RNAcentral is "long non-coding RNA (EGUI_LNC038083)". Lineage: Eukaryota; Viridiplantae; Streptophyta; Magnoliopsida; Arecales; Arecaceae. The record is from RNAcentral.